This 407-nucleotide ribosomal RNA is filed under the name uncultured bacterium. RNAcentral describes it as "partial 16S ribosomal RNA". It matches the Rfam family "Bacterial small subunit ribosomal RNA", at positions 30 to 526 of the family's 1533-position model. The record is from RNAcentral.
AUUGAACGCUGGCGGCAGGCCUAAGACCUGCAAGUCGAGCGGAACGGCAGACGAGUUAGUAAUGCCUAGGAAUCUGCCUGGUAGUCGGUGAUAACGUCCGGAAACGUGCGCUAAUAGCGCAUACUCUCAAAUGAGCCUAGGUCGGAUUAGCUAGUGUGUGGGGUAAAGGCCUACCAAGUCGACGAUACGACACUGGUCUGAGAGACGGAUCAGUCACGCUGGAAAUGAGACACGGGCCAGAAUCGUACGGGAGGCAGCCGUGGGGAAUAUUGGACAAUGGGCGAAAGCCUGAUCCAGCACUGCCGCGUGUGUGAGGAAGGUCUUCGGAUGGUAAAGCACUUAAAGUUGGGAGGCGUUACCAACAGAAUAAGAACCGGCUGACGUCGUGCCAGCAGCCGCGGUAAUUC